UCCGGUGCCCAUAAGCUGCUGGUUCCACCCGAUUCCAUUCCGAACUCGGUCGUUAAGAAGUAGCUGCCGAUGAUAGUGCAUUGUGCGAAAGUAGGUUAGUGCCGGAC
Molecule: ribosomal RNA, 107 nt
Filed under: Planctomycetota bacterium
Lineage: Bacteria; Pseudomonadati; Planctomycetota
Source: RNAcentral